AGGUGCAGAUGGGAAGAAUGAGUGACAUCUUGAUGUCCUCUCUUUGAUGAGUCUCUCCCUUGGCAGCUUCCACUGUACUUUUAGGAACAAGCUUCAAUUUAUCUUGUACAGAGUGGAUCUGUGUCUUGGAGCCAGCAGAGCUGCAUUUAAAAGUGUGCUUCCAGCUUGAGAUUCUCAGAGGAGCAGCAAAGCGAAGAACAGAACACUGCCCUGAAUGUUUGGAGAUCUCAGAUGAGGGCUGAGUCAUCAAAUGUGACUGUCACCAUCAUGAUCCCUUGCAUUUAAGUUUCCAAAACACUUCUUACGUUCACGCAUUCAUUUGAUCUUCAUAAAAAUCCAGUGUGGUAAUUGGAGUAAGAACAUUUGCUUCAGUUUUCUGAUUAGCCUGAGCUAACUACUACCAAUCCUCCUCUUUUUGCUGAGGAAGACUGGCCCUGAGCUAACAUCCGUGCCCAUCUUCCUUACUUUAUAUGUGGGAUGCCUACCACAGCGUGGCAUGCUAAGCGGUGCCAUGUCUGCGCCCAGGAUCCGAACUGGCGAACCCCGGGCCGCUGAGAAGCAGAACGUGCGAAUUUAACCACUGCGCCACCGGGCUGGCCCCGUGAAUCUUUACAUGUUCCUGUCAGCAUAUUUGAAGGAGCAAUCACCUCUUUCUGACUUCAUGGGAUGGCCUACGUAGGGAAAGACCUUCACCUCUGGGUUAAUUGUAAGUCUGGGUGUGUCUUGUUACCAAGAUGGCAUGUGGAAACCAUUCAAGAAAUAUUUACCAUUCGAAUAAAGCUGGAAAGAAAAAGAAAAAAAGAGACGGAAAAGAGAAAAAAAAGAGAAAUAUUUACCACACAAGAAAUCAAGAUUCAACUUGAUGAUCCUCAACACAGCCUUCCCUACCCUCAAAUGGCCCCCACGAAUUUCUGCUUUGUGAACUUUAUUUUCUAUUUUGGCUGAAAAAGGCUACUGUUUGCAUGGUUACUUGCUUAAUAUUAGAAAUCAAGUAGAAACAGUGCUGGUGACCGAGAAGUGAAUGGGCAUGCUCAAAAAUGACUGGUGGCGCAACCAUUGACAUAAACUUUUAAAAAAGCAAAUCUGGUCACUCUUUAGUCGCAAAAAAAGAGAAAAUAUUGACUUUCAUCCUCAUAUUUAGUUGGUGUAUCGAGAAUCACAGGACUUUCUGAUACCAGCGUCAAUGUGGUCAUCUAUCUGGAAGUGUUCCUCCCUCAUUCUCUUUCAACAAGGAUCUUUGGUAUUUGUUUAGCAGUGUGGCGAUAGAAAUCUUGAGGACAUACGGAAGAAAUGGUGAUAGUUUGCUUACAAAAACCAAAUGGAGAGAAUUAACUACGGAGAAAGCUCAAGAACUCUCCUCUUUUAAUUGACUCUCCCUUCUACAAGGAGGAAUUCUAUCCAAGGACAAAAUAAUGUAAGUUUGACAGGAGUGUCCUCUAAGGUAUCUAAUAUUCAUGAAUCUAGACCAGCUAAUAAAUUCUCUUUAUUGUGUAAGCUAGUUUGAAAUUGAUUCUAUCAACUAAUAAGUUCUCUCUAAUUCAAAAGGUUAGCGUGAAGAUCAUUUGAAUGAUAUAGUGAAAUUGCCCAGCACUGUGAUUACUUAAAAAAUAUUAUUUUCUUUUUUC
Molecule: long non-coding RNA, 1625 nt
Organism: Equus asinus (donkey)
Lineage: Eukaryota; Metazoa; Chordata; Mammalia; Perissodactyla; Equidae
Source: Ensembl